AUUCAGCUGACGACUUCUAAAUAGGACGAAACGCACAUCCUGGAU
This 45-nucleotide non-coding RNA is filed under the name Schistosoma margrebowiei. Lineage: Eukaryota; Metazoa; Platyhelminthes; Trematoda; Strigeidida; Schistosomatidae. The record is from RNAcentral.